Long non-coding RNA from Nannospalax galili (Upper Galilee mountains blind mole rat), 515 nucleotides. RefSeq lists it as uncharacterized. The transcript is spliced from 3 exons. The record is from RefSeq and is a predicted model, not a curated record. Lineage: Eukaryota; Metazoa; Chordata; Mammalia; Rodentia; Spalacidae.
UGGUGUGGAUGCAAUGAAGGCUGAGAUGCAGGUGGAAAUUCUGAAAUAGUUUUGUCAUCUUGAAAGCCAAUUACUUGCUCCAAUGCUGCAUUUCCAGAUUCAAGGUUUGAGGACAAAUUUUACCUCCUGUGAUCAGACAGGAUGCUUGCUUCGGAGGAGAUAAAAAUCCAGAGUUUCUUUCUGGCAUUCCUGACCAGAGAACCAAGGACAUUUCUGGACCUGCUACCUUGGGGGCCUCUGCUUUGAGCUGUGUGUCCAGUUUCUACCUGCUCUUCUCAUCAUUUCCCCCUCUGAAGAGGUCUUCUGCAGGUAAUCAAUGGCUGCUAAGACUUCAAGUGUACAAUGGCCAUGUCAUGGCAGGAAGACUGUGUUCUACAAUUUGCCACCACUUUUUCCUGCUUUUACCUUCCUUACUGGACCCUCUUCUGAAACAUUCCCUGAGCCUCGGAGUGGAGGAUACAGAUGUCCUAUUUAGGACUGAGCACAGAAUCUGCAUUUUAACAAAAUCUUCAAUC